AACUGCUGGAGGACUCAAAGCUGGAAUCACCAAGAGGGGAGCAGCCAGAGAUGUCAGCUGAGCUCUGAAAAUAGACGUGACUUAAUGAGCAAGAGACAGGUUGGGUUUCUCUAAAAAGGCAGAUUCAACCUGAGCUUGCUGUGCACCAAGUUCUAUGCUCACACUUUUCAUGCAGGCCAUUAUCAAAUCUGCACAACCACCCCCUGAGAUGCAGUUGUGUGACCAGUUCUUGCCAGUGCAAUGUGAGCAGAAGUAACAGGUGCCAGCUCGAAGCCAAGCUACCACAGUCCUGAUCUGCAGAAGAACCCCAAGACCAAGCCAGCCACAUCCCUCUGGGUCUAGAUACAACAGAUGAGGAAACUAAGGCAGGAGAGGAAGCAUUUGCCCAAAUCACAGUAAGUGGUGGGGCCAACCAGUCAUUGAGCUCCUGGUGUUCCUUGGCAGUCCUUGGUUUGUGGCCACAUCAUGCCAACCUCUGCUCUGUCUUCAACUAGUCUUCUUCACCGUAUCUCCUCUCCUCUUCUUCUAAGGACACCAAUCACUGGACUUAGGGCCCAAUCUACACUGGACUAUUAAAUACCCAAGUGGCCAAUGCAAUUGGAGAGUAGAUAAAUCAUUCAUUCCAAAAGGCAAGGAAAAAACUGAAACCCAAAGCAAUGGAGAGGAUGGAACCAGAGACAUGGCGGGGUCAAGUACUGCCUUCGUCACCUACUGACUUCUGACUCUAUGACCUCUUGAGCCUCAAUUUCAUCAAAAAAAGGGGGGGAUAAUAAUCACACCUCUCUCUCUGGUUCAUUUUGAGAUUAAGUGCCUGGCAAAGAGUGAGCACCCAAAUAAAUGUUACCUGGUAAUUUUCUCAAAAUAAAAGUUUUUGAAUACUCAUGGCUUGUUAUUGUAAUUCUGAAACAAUAUAUUUGUGUUAUAAAAUAAAGCAAAUUAACAGCUAACUUCUUGUCAUUAGGAAUCAACGUUUUCAGUUUAAAAGAGAUACAAAUAUAAACACAAAAUAAAAAACAGUGUGCCCCCAGUUUGAAUUAGAAAUAUAAGUAUGGGGGCACCUGGAUCGCUCAGUUGGUUAAGUGUCUGACUUUGGCCCAGGUCAUGAUCUCCCAGUUCAUGAGUUCAAGCCCCAUGUCGGGCUCUGUGCUGACAGCUCAGAGCCUAGAGCCUGCUUUGGAUUCUGUGUCUCCCUUUCUCUCUGCCCCUCCCCACCACACUCUGU
Molecule: long non-coding RNA, 1222 nt
Organism: Panthera uncia (snow leopard)
Lineage: Eukaryota; Metazoa; Chordata; Mammalia; Carnivora; Felidae
Exons: 7
Source: RefSeq, a predicted model, not a curated record